This 955-nucleotide ribosomal RNA is filed under the name uncultured archaeon. RNAcentral describes it as "partial 16S ribosomal RNA". It matches the Rfam family "Archaeal small subunit ribosomal RNA", at positions 1 to 921 of the family's 1478-position model. The record is from RNAcentral.
UUCCGGUUGAUCCUGCCGGACCCCACUGCUAUCGAGGUGGGACUAAGCCAUGCCAGUCGAACGACCCGGACUAUGGCGGGGAGUGGCAGACUGCUCAGUAACACGUAGCUAACCUACCCUCGGGACGGGGAUAACCCCGGGAAACUGGGGCUAAUACCCGAUAGGUGUGGAUUCCUGGAAUGGUGCCAUGCCUAAACGUAAGCACAUCCAUGUUUGUGUGCACGCCCGAGGAUGGGGCUGCGGCCGAUCAGGCAGUUGGUGAGGUAACGGCUCACCAAACCUUUGACCGGUACGGGCCAUGAGAGUGGUAGCCCGGAGAUGGGCACUGAGACAAGGGCCCAGGCCCUACGGGGCGCAGCAGGCGCGAAACCUCCACAAUUCACGCAAGUGAGAUGGGGUUACCUCGAGUGCCAUCUGAAGAAGGUGGCUUUUCCAUGGUGUAGCUGUUUCUUAGUCUAAAAAACUGAGAGAGUAAGGGCUGGGUAAGACGGGUGCCAGCCGCCGCGGUAAUACCUGCAGCUCAAGUGGUGGCCGCUAUUAUUGGGCCUAAAACGUCCGUAGCCUGUUUAGUAAAUGCUUGGGUAAAUUGUGUAGCUUAACUAUACGAAUACCGGGUAGACUGCUAAACUUGGGACCGGGAGAGGCUAGAGGUACUCCUAGGGUAGAGGUGAAAUUCUGUAAUCCUAGGGGGACCACCAGUGGCGAAAGGCGUCUAGCUAGAACGGGUCUGACGGUGAGGGACGAAGCCCUGGGGCGCAAACCGGAUUAGAUACCCGGGUAGUCCAGGGUGUAAACGCUGCUUGCUUGAUGUUAGUUGGGCUCCGAGCCCAACUAGUGUCGGAGAGAAGUUGUUAAGCAAGCUGCCUGGGAAGUACGGCCGCAAGGCUGAAACUUAAGGAAUUGGCGGGGGAGCACCCACAAGGGGUGAAGCUUGCGUUUAAUGGAGUCACGCGGA